This is a long non-coding RNA of Pomacea canaliculata, 1409 nucleotides long. RefSeq lists it as uncharacterized. The record is from RefSeq and is a predicted model, not a curated record. The transcript is spliced from 3 exons. NCBI's taxonomy places the organism in Eukaryota, Metazoa, Mollusca, Gastropoda, Architaenioglossa, Ampullariidae.
CGAUUCUUGUUCACAGAGACUGGGGCUGCCUCCCGAUGCGGUUGGCGGCGAUGUUCUCCUGCGUGCAUCACUGGCUCAUCGUCAAGGAAAGCAGUUGUCGGAUGGCGUGUCUGUCGGUCAGCCUCUCGACGACAGCUCGGCGCGGGUAGGAAACGAGUGAACAAAGUCUGCCGGCCUGCUGCCUGUAUAUCGACAAUGAACCUGGCUGCAACGGCUCCAGCCACAACCCUCGGCAUUGCACAAAAAUGCAGCGUAGAUAUCUUUCGCCAGAUCACGCAGAAAUUAAUGCCCGCAGCACUUUUUUCUGAAUGGAAACUUUCCUUUCGUGGCAGUCCAGCCAAACUCCGUCUUUGUGCCGGCGGGGGGAGGCUGAACUUCCUAUUGGUGCCGAGUCUGUGUUUGCAGAGAAACUUUUUCUUCCUACGAGGUAGACUUCAGUGCUGAGUUCUCAGAAUUCUCCGGUUUCCAAGCUCCUGAAAAUAUCAGGAUUAGCACAGCUCCGUGUUUGCGCACGUGCAGACGGCUUGGGGGAUGAGUAUCUAGAGGUGGACAACUAUUGUGAAACAUCCGUCUGCGGCUUCUUCCCUCGCCUGAAAGGGAAGUAAAGCUAGAUGACAGGGGAAGAAUACUAGUGCUUAUCUCCCCAAAAAGCUUUGGUCUGAGUCUCCGAUGCGCAGAAAAAUGGUAAUGUGGAUUCCAAUCAAUUCAAGGAUUAUAUGGCACUGACCUUGUUUCCAACACAAGAAAAUCUGUUGUUAGUGGCUUCGGAAAUUGUCGACAGACGAAAUAACAUGACUUUUCAUGCAGCUACAACAACAUAAAUGUGGAGCCAGAGAAAGACCAAAGCUUAGAGUAAAACAUUUCGGAUAAUCUUCUGCAGAAGGAAGAAUAAAUUUUGAUCAAACAAGUUAUAUUUGCGGACAGUUUUAUGCAAAAGUUACCUGAUACCAGAGAGUAAACUCGUAACCAUGUCGUCAGUGGGAGAUUGUCUGUGUGUUGUUCUGCUCUUCACAGUCAACAGGAGGCUGCUAUUGAUUGCGACUGUUUCUUUGGCGGCGUUGGGCUCCAUUCCUGUUGCACACUUCUGCUGAUGUUGCUUUCGAAGUGAAGGACAGCUGUGUUCUUGGAAACAAUACUUCCUGCCCUGAUCUUCAUUGCUGCGUCAAACAUGUCAUCACCUACAAGACCCCAGCAAGAGCGCCCUGGUGGGAACAAAGUGCGAAUCUCUUCUGGGAGAGGAUGCUCUUUGCCUCCGCUCUCCAGAGGACUACAUGUGUGACUGCAAGCCCGGACUCCACUGUGCCAUGGAGAGCUAUCAGACCUUUGGCUACUGUAAAAGACUUCCACGGAAAACGUAGCUGUUCCAGACUAAUGUCUUCGACUAAACGUGCUGGCAACCUUCAGAAAAG